UUCGUAGGGACUUAAUACGUGCGAAGCGCCGAAGCCGCGAGGCGACGGCGUUCUCGCCGGAUGUAGGAACCGACCCGGGGACCGCCGGGGCAACCCGGCGCCCCCGAGACGGGGCGAACCACGGUGAAAUGACGGAUCGUCGGCCCCGCGCCGGCGACUCGCCGAAUGAGUUUCUGACCUAUCAACUCGAGACGGCGGGGUAGAGGCCCGCCGCGGUAACGACGGGUAACGGGGAAUCAGGGUUCGAUUCCGGAGAGGGAGCCCGAGAAACGGCUACCACUUCCAAGGAAGGCAGCAGGCGCGCAACUUACCCUAAUCUCGAUUCGAGGAGGUAGUGACAAGAAAUACCGAUGCGGGACCCUACGGGUGCCGCGUUCGGAAUGAGUACGAUUCGAACCACCUAACGAGGAACGAUCGGAGGGCAAGUCUGGUGCCAGCAGCCGCGGUAAUUCCAGC
Molecule: ribosomal RNA, 456 nt
Filed under: uncultured eukaryote
Lineage: Eukaryota
Description: bacterial SSU rRNA
Rfam family: Eukaryotic small subunit ribosomal RNA
Source: RNAcentral